GAGGUCAAGCAAAUCCCAUAAAGUUGCUCUCAGUUCGGAUUGUAGUCUGCAACUCGACUACAUGAAGCUGGAAUCGCUAGUAAUCGUAGAUCAGCAUGCUACGGUGAAUACGUUCCCGGGUCUUGUACACACCGCCCGUCACACCACGAGAGUUUGUAACACCCGAAGCCGGUGGAGUAACCUUUUAGGAGCUAGCCGUCGAAGGUGGGACAAAUGAUUGGGGUGAAGUCGUAACAAGGUAGCCGUAUCGGAAGGUGCGGCUGGAUCACCUCCUUU
Molecule: ribosomal RNA, 276 nt
Filed under: Staphylococcus aureus
Lineage: Bacteria; Bacillati; Bacillota; Bacilli; Caryophanales; Staphylococcaceae
Description: partial 16S ribosomal RNA
Rfam family: Bacterial small subunit ribosomal RNA
Source: RNAcentral